GCCACAACCACCACUGUCGCCAUCAUCACCAACACCGAUUUUUGCUGCCACGUACAAUCUAUGAGAGGCUCAGAGCCAUAGGUACAAGAAUCUUAAGCUGCCACGUACACUUUGUGAAGCCGGUGUCUACAUUUGCUUCCACAUGUUCCAUCCCUAUUACUUCACACAAAAACCCUGCCACUCAUCUAAUAUCUUCUCAUCGGUCUCUCUUUUCAUCUAAGUCGCUCUGAUGAUUUUUUUCGUAUUAAUUCGGGAGAACGAUCGUUAAAGGCACCUUCGCGAAUGUGGAAUUUGCUCAGAACACAGAGACUGGUGAAAGUUGUUGAUCUGAACCACAAGAUGGUCGAUUAGAUGGCGCUGGUAAGAUAACAUGGGAUGAUGAAAAACCUCAACUUUAGCAGGUGACCCAGUACUGGCAAGUUCAGAUCUUACGAUUACAUAUCGUGAUUUUUUAUUUUGGUUGGGCAAUUUAUAUUUAGCAUACAUGCUAAUGGACCUUUCUCGUCGGUGAAAAUAGAGAGCAAAAAUC
Helianthus annuus (common sunflower) is the source of this 529-nucleotide long non-coding RNA. RefSeq lists it as uncharacterized. The transcript has 3 exons. NCBI's taxonomy places the organism in Eukaryota, Viridiplantae, Streptophyta, Magnoliopsida, Asterales, Asteraceae. The record is from RefSeq and is a predicted model, not a curated record.